GCCUCGGUGGUGUAGUGGAAAGCACGCCAAACCGGAUAUCUGUAAGUGCGAGUACGAGUCCCGCCUGAAGUU
This 72-nucleotide transfer RNA is filed under the name Dictyocaulus viviparus (bovine lungworm). It matches the Rfam family "tRNA". From Rfam's summary of the family: Transfer RNA (tRNA) molecules are approximately 80 nucleotides in length. Their secondary structure includes four short double-helical elements and three loops (D, anti-codon, and T loops). Lineage: Eukaryota; Metazoa; Nematoda; Chromadorea; Rhabditida; Metastrongylidae. The record is from Rfam by way of RNAcentral.